AAUCUUCCACAAUGGGUGCAAACCUGAUGGAGCAAUGCCGCGUGAAUGAAGAAGGUCUUCGGAUCGUAAAGUCCUGUUAUUAGAGAAGAACAAGUCAAGGAGUAACUGUCUUGACUUUGACGGUACCUAACCAGAAAGUCACGGCUAACUACGUGCCAGCAGCCGCGGUAAUACGUAGGUGACAAGCGUUGUCCGGAAUAAUUGGGCGCAAAGGGGGGGCGGGCGGUUGGAAUAGUUUGAGGUGAAAGCCAAGGGCUUAACCGUGGAAGGUCAUUGGAAACUGUCCAACUUGAAUGCAGAAGAGGUAAGUGGAAUUCCAUGUGUGGCGGUGAAAUGCGUAGAUAUAUGGAGGAACACCAGUGGCGAAGGCGACUUACUGGUCUGUGAUUGACGCUGAGGCUCGAAAGCGUGGGUAGCGAACA
This 422-nucleotide ribosomal RNA is filed under the name uncultured bacterium. RNAcentral's name for it is "partial 16S ribosomal RNA". It matches the Rfam family "Bacterial small subunit ribosomal RNA", at positions 360 to 774 of the family's 1533-position model. The record is from RNAcentral.